AUAUAUGUCUACCGUGGUUGUAACGAGUACAGAGAAUCAGGGUUUGGUUCUGGAGAGGCCGCCUGAGAAACGGCGACCACUUCCAAGGAAGGCAGCAGGCGCGCAAAUUACCCACUCUCAAAACGAGGAGGUAGUGAAGAGAAAUAACGAUGUUAGUCUUCUAUAGGCUGACAAUCGGAAUGGGAACACUGUAAACAGGUUAUCGAUUAACAAUUGGAGGGCAAGUCUGGUGCCAGCAGCCGCGGUAAUUCCAGCUCCAAUAAGGAAAACUAAAGUUGCUGUGUUUAAAAAGCUCGUAGUUGAAUUUCGGGUAUUUGUUGCUAGCUGGUCUAACUGGCCAUGUUGGUUAACAGAUCCUCAUUUGCUGGACGGCUGGCGAUGAUCUUUAUCGAUUGUCGUCAGUUGCCAGAACGUUUACUUUGAGAAAAUUAGAGUGCUAAGAGCAGGCUCACGCCUAUAUAUAUUGCAUGGAAUAAUGAAAUAAGAUCUCGAUUUUAUUUCGUUGGUUUUAGAAAUUGAGAUAAUGAUUAAUAGGAUCAGAGGGGGGCGUACGUACUGUGGUGUGAGAGGUGAAAUUCUUGGAUCGCCACAGGACGAACAGCAGCGAAGGCGUUCGCCAAGAAUGUUUUCAUUAAUCAAGAACGAAAGUUUGAGGUUCGAAGACGAUUAGAUACCGUCCUAGUUCAAACCAUAAACGUUGCCAACUGUCUUUUAGAUGCGGUUAUUUAUAUGACUCAUCUGGCGGAUCUCGAGAAAUCUAAGUUUUUAGGUUCCGGGGGAAGUAUGGUUGCAAAGCUGAAACUUAAAAGAAUUGACGGAAGGACACACAAGAAGUGGAGCCUGUGGCCUAAUUUGACCCAACACGGGAAACCUUACUCGGCCAGGACACUUUUAGGAUUGACAGAUUGAGAGCUCUUUCUUGAUUAGGUGGGUGGUGGUGCAUGGUCGUUCGUAGUUCGUGGAGCGAUUUGUCUGAUUAAUUUCGAUAACGAACGAGACUCCGGCUUACUAAAUAGUCUAAAGUUCGAAGGGACUUUUCAAGACUUCUUAGCAGGAUAAGUGGCACUUUUUAAGCCACACGAAAUGGAGCAAUAACAGGUCUGUGAUGCCCUUAGAUGUCCGAGGCUGCACGCGCGCUACACUGGAGAGUUCAGAAUGUUUCUUCCUACUUCGACAGAAGUGGGUAACCAUGAAAUUCUCUUCGUGACUGGGAUCGGAGCUUGCAAUUAUUCUCCGUCAACGAGGAAUUCCUAGUAAGCACUAUUUCAUCAGAAUGUGCUGAUUAUGUCCCUGUCCUUUGUACACACCGCCCGUCGCUACUACCGAUUGAAUGUUUUAGUGAGAUCUUCGGCUUGGUUUUCCGAGCGGCUCUCGGGUCGUUCGGUUUAUAUCGAAAAGAUGCUCAAACUGGAUCAUUUAGAGGAAGUAAAAGUCGUAACAAGGUA
Molecule: ribosomal RNA, 1445 nt
Filed under: metagenome
Description: SSU rRNA
Rfam family: Eukaryotic small subunit ribosomal RNA
Source: RNAcentral